UUUCUGUCAGUGGGGACUUGUCGACAGCUCUGGAGAGUGUCGAGACAAGCCCGAGUCGCGUUGGCGUCAAAUAGACGCGAAACGGACUCCGUGCGACGUGAGGUCAUCUUUCUGUGUGAAAAUCUGCGAAAUUGCAGAAUUUUUACUCUGCUGUACCGGUACAAGGGUUGGUCUGUACCGGUACAACCACCGUGGGAAGUCGCUUGCUGUACCGGUACAAGGGUCCGUCUGUACCGGUACAGGAUGCGCGACAGGAGGUUGGUGCCCACGGGUUUGGCCUUGUACCGGUACAGCAAGCCGUGUACCGGUACAAGGGAGUUGGUGGAGGGAUAAAACAGUAAUU
RNAcentral lists this long non-coding RNA (343 nucleotides) under Ananas comosus (pineapple). RNAcentral's name for it is "long non-coding RNA (ACOM_LNC013181)". Lineage: Eukaryota; Viridiplantae; Streptophyta; Magnoliopsida; Poales; Bromeliaceae. The record is from RNAcentral.